RNAcentral lists this small nucleolar RNA (81 nucleotides) under Olea europaea subsp. europaea. RNAcentral's name for it is "Small nucleolar RNA J33". It matches the Rfam family "Small nucleolar RNA J33". From Rfam's summary of the family: J33 is a member of the C/D class of snoRNA which contain the C (UGAUGA) and D (CUGA) box motifs. Lineage: Eukaryota; Viridiplantae; Streptophyta; Magnoliopsida; Lamiales; Oleaceae. The record is from Rfam by way of RNAcentral.
CGACUAGGGGAAUGAUGUACUACAAUCGGGCUCUUAACAUGCUGGCUUUUCUGGAUUCAACACACGAGAUAGACAUCAUGG